GUGUGUGUGCGUGUGUGUAUGUGUGUUUGUCUUUUGGAUUUUUGUUGUGGUUUUGCUUCUGCUGGCUUGCUGGACCCAGGCAGAACAUACUCUGCCGCUGGAGUACAGGAGAUUGCCUGCUGGCUCACAUUCUUCUGCACUUGUCCAUUCCUCUGCCACUUGGUCCCUCUGAGCCUUGGCUUGGCAUUGUGGGUCUAGGGCUUGGCUUAAGGCAGUGGCAGAGUAAGUGAAAUUGGGAGCUAUCGGGCCCCCAUGCUGCUUCCACAUCCACCACCUCUGGCCCUGGGUGGUGACAUUGCAGGGACCAAGGUGUCACUGUGGGUGCCCACAGGGCUGUGCCCUACCUGUCCUCGGCCGUCUUCCUUCUGGCCUCAGCUUAGUUCCUAGAGUCUUCAUUGGGGCCUCAGCUAGGCCGCCCCAGGGGCCUACCUUGUGGAUUGGGAGUCCUGUCACUCGUGUAUUUCUGAAACCCCGUUCUGUGGGGUGUUGUUUCCCAGGCAGAUUGGUUAGGGGCCCCACUUGGGGCAACCCAUUCUUCCCUGUCUCACUGUGAGAGCCUGGAGGCCUCCACCAUGGCCAGACAAAGGCUUUGGCCCUCGGGCCCAGUCUGUUCUUCCCAGUGUCUGCAGCUCUUGGCUCUGGGCCCUAUUCUGCCUCCUUCAGGAUCUGCGUCUUCCAGGGAUCCGCUGUUCGACUUGGAGGUGCUUCUCUGCAGGUCCCAAGCCUGCCUCCUCACCCCAGCUUUCCAGUGGAGGCUGCCCCCUUCCAGGCUUGGCUCAGGAAGCUCCUCAUAGGCGGAUGCCCACCCAUAAGAGGCUACAUCCCUUUGUGGUCACAUGGCCUGUAGCCUCUUGCUGACAUUGCUGGUGUCUUCUCUGGGGCCCUGGAUCCCUGACAAGCACAGAAAUGUGAUCUGGUAAAAGGAAAGACUGUGGCCUGAUAGGCCUUUACCUCGUAGGCAGCAGGAUUUUCACUCAGUUUGACACAGCAUGCAGUGCUCUGGGAGCAGGACCUCUGCCACCCUGGCAUUUUUGGUAGGCUGGUUUGGCUCAAGGUGCUCAGACACUCCCAUUGAUGCCUGAGUCGGAUAUGGGUGGAAAUCUGGACUGUUGAUUAUAAGUUACCAGGUGACCUCAUUCCCUCCCUUUGUCUCUUAACUGGUAUCCAGUGAGUUGCUGAUGCCGACUGGCAAGCAGAGCUGGCCCAUGCCUAGAGGAGGAGAGGGACAGGCUUUCUGAGUGCUUUGAUUCUGGCUGGGCUGUAGUGUAUAGCUGAGAAUGGCCUCCUGCAUGGGUCCAGCCUUUUGGGAGGAUGAGGAAGAGGAGGCUGAGGCUAGAUGUGUGUUAAACAGGAGUAGCAGAUCUUUGCUUCUGAACCGGAUAGAGCCGUGCUCAAGGCUUUCAGGUUUGCAGUAUCUUCUUAUUGAGUCUGGGGAACGUUCCCUAUUGAGCCAGCCCUGCAGCUCCACUCCCUGCCCCAUUCCCCUGAUUUCUUGACAGUAAAUCCUGUGUCCAGUUGUGACUGUUGGCUGUUUUCCUGAUCAUUGUUAAUUCCGUUUUCCUACUGUGAGGGUGUUGUGUUUGACUUUCUGACACAGCGAAUGGAGAGCUUGGGCUGAGGCCAGGUCUCCCAAACUUCUCCGCUAAGUAAACCGUAAUGUGUGACUUCCCUCCUAUCUUGACUGCCCGACUCCUUCCUUCCACAUGGACACUCAGAUUUCAAAGAAAACCCGCAGGAGGUGGGUCAGUUUCCUCUGUAGAAUAUGGUCCCAGAGAGUCCUCCCCUCUGUUGUGUCUAGCUGCUAGUCUGGGUGUUGUACCAUCAGUGCAGGGAGUCCACGGCAACACUGAGUUAUACAGGGACCACUACCAUCGCCAGGCUUCCUAGCAGGCUGUUCUCAGUUCAUCUUUCAGGUCCGUGUGUACUCUGUGCUAGCAGCAGCCUUGGUGUUCAAGGCCAGGAUUUGCAGUUUUGAUAAGCUACAGCCCACUUGGAGAUGGUGAGGCCACUUCCCUGCUACCUCCCUCUCUGGUGUGGCCACUUGGCCAAAGCUCCCAUCCACAGCUGGGGUGUCUGAGCCACAGCCUGCUACACUGUUUCCGCUCUGGGAUCUUCUGAGUUACUCUUUUAGGCUGUGGUUUGGUGAAAGGAACCAACACAUUAACGAUCCCCCCCCCCCCCAAAGCCACUGAGUAAUUCUUGGCAUGUUUUCUAAGUGCUGUUGGCUGCCUGGUUUGGGAGCAGUUGUGGAGAGGACAGACUUAGUACCACACAGAGGCAUGGGUGUGCGAGCUGCUCACAGCUUCCUUGUUUCUGGCAUGUGUCCUGGGUGCGUGCUAUACCUCCCGGGCCAGCUGCACACCUAUGUACUCUGCCCCUGAGAGGUAGAGUGUUCAGGAAGUGUCCCUGAUAGAUUCCCUGUUCUCUGUGGCCCCAGUUGGGCUUUUGGCUCCUCCAGCAACUUCAUGCCCCAACCCUACCUUUCCUCCCAUUUCUUUCUGUCUGCUAGUCCCUGAAGCCUUUAACCAAAUGGGAAUGGGUACAGAAAGCCUUCUCCUGGCAACUUAGGGCAACAGGACAAGGGCUAUUGUGUGUCCAGCUCUGUUGGUCUCCUGGUGCUGAGAGGUGUGUCCAAGCAGAGUUGAUCAGCCCCUGCCUGCCCUGCAGGGCUGAAGCCAGGGGGAGGUUAGUAGAGAGUACCCUAAAUGGGGUGAGGGUCCUUAAACAUCCAAGUGAGGAGGGGCUGUUGUGUGGCUGCAAGGUGAGACCCUGUCUCCAGCACCUGGGUAGGGCCAUCGGGGAUCUGGCUGCAAGGUGAGGUCUGGACUUGGCAUCAGUGCAGAGCGAUCAAGUCACCUGGCCUCAGCAGGCAGCAGCCUUGGUGCCCACCCGUGCCCUGCGCAGUAUUUAUUGCUAAAUUAUUGUCCAGGAGGGGCGGCACUGGGCCUGGCCCCCCGGGUAUUUAUUGCUGUACAUAGUGUAUGUUUGUGAUAUAUAAGGUUUUCUUUAUUUUGUAUAUGAUCAAUAAACGCCUUUUAAAGAGAUC
This 3046-nucleotide long non-coding RNA is filed under the name Rattus norvegicus (Norway rat). RNAcentral's name for it is "long non-coding RNA NONRATT006367". The record is from RNAcentral. Lineage: Eukaryota; Metazoa; Chordata; Mammalia; Rodentia; Muridae.